This 315-nucleotide long non-coding RNA is filed under the name Musa acuminata (dwarf banana). RNAcentral's name for it is "long non-coding RNA (MACU_LNC007557)". The record is from RNAcentral. Lineage: Eukaryota; Viridiplantae; Streptophyta; Magnoliopsida; Zingiberales; Musaceae.
ACGAUGUCACUUUUCCUUAGCUUUGGAAUCCGUAGUGCUUUCCUUUUGCAGAGCGAUGAACCGCCCGUAGAUCUGCUUGUUUUCUUCCGACGGAUCGGCGUUGUAUCAUCGGCCCUCGUUGGCCUUUCGAUUCCUUUUCCGCCUCUCGCCGGACGAGACACUCGACGGUGCUGCUCGGGAGACGAUGAAAGGGCUGACGAUACAGCAACACCAACCGGCGGACGAGAACAUGUCCAAUCUCACCUCUGCCUCCGGGGAAGCCAGCGUCUCUUCCAACCAGCAAUCCUCCUUCGCCUCCCCGACCCCAAAUCCAAC